CCUACGGGUGGCAGCAGUGAGGAAUAUUGGGCAAUGGGCGCAAGCCUGACCCAGCCAUGCCGCGUGAGUGAAGAAGGUCUUCGGGUUGUAAAGCUCUUUCGGACGGGACGAUAAUGACGGUAGCGACUAAGGAAGCACCGGCAAACUUCGUGCCAGCAGCCGCGGUAAUACGAAGGGUGCGAGCGUUGUUCGGAGUUACUGGGCGUAAAGGGAGUGUAGGCGGAUAUGUAAGAUAGCGGUGAAAUGCCGGGGCUCAACCCCGGAACUGCCAUUAUGACUAUUUACCUAGAGUAAUGGAGAGGAAAGCGGAAUACCUGGUGUAGAGGUGAAAUGCGUAGAUAUUGGGUAGAACACCGGUGGCGAAGGCGGCCAUCUGGACAUUAACUGACGCUGAGGCUCGAAAGCAUGGGUAUCAAACAGGAUUAGAUACCCGAGUAGUC
Molecule: ribosomal RNA, 440 nt
Filed under: uncultured bacterium
Lineage: Bacteria
Description: partial 16S ribosomal RNA
Rfam family: Bacterial small subunit ribosomal RNA
Source: RNAcentral